RNAcentral lists this transfer RNA (73 nucleotides) under Marmota monax (woodchuck). RNAcentral's name for it is "tRNA.Ala". The record is from RNAcentral. Lineage: Eukaryota; Metazoa; Chordata; Mammalia; Rodentia; Sciuridae.
GAAUGUGGCUCAAGUGGUAGCGCACUCGCCUGGCAUGUGUGCGGCCUGGGUUUGAUCCUCAGAACCACAUACA